CUUUUACGUCGGCCUCCGCGAGCGUUUGGUAGUGUGGUAGGAACAAUGGCGCUGUCUUCAGUGGCACAGCGGAGCAGUUCUGUGAAGAUGCAAAGAUACACGAAAAAAAUUCCAGAACAUCUGGGAGAAUAUUUAAUGGAAAAUCGCUUGGUUAAAACCUGACACUUAACAGGUAUGUGUUGUUUUAGUACUUUAUGAUUGAGCAUAGCAUUUAAUCCACACCUAGACUAAACCGAAUUUUUUUUGUCAUUGAACAGCAUUCUGAGUGUGGACGAGUAGCCAGUGAAGAUAAUGAAUGUCGGAUGUCACUGACUAGCAGCUUCAUUUUGAAUGAGGGUCGCUGUCUGCCCAUUGAUAGAGGCCAGAUUGUCUUGGAAGUUCCAAAGUUGCAACGAUUUCUGGCUAGUGCCACGAGGUUUACUUGACUGUUGUGUGAAAAGCUGAUAAGAAAACCAUCCAGAAAACAGCUCUUCGUUUUACAAACAUGAAAAUAAAACAUGUAAUUUUG
RNAcentral lists this long non-coding RNA (508 nucleotides) under Pongo abelii (Sumatran orangutan). Its description in RNAcentral is "lincRNA". The record is from RNAcentral. Lineage: Eukaryota; Metazoa; Chordata; Mammalia; Primates; Hominidae.